UCUCUCUCUCUCUCUCUCUCUCUCUCUCUCUCUCUCUCUCUCUCAGUUUAAAAAAUUGUAAACAAAAUUUGGACAUUGAUCCUUGCUCAUCUCCUUGAGUCAAAUAAUUCAUUGUGUUGAGAUCCUUGUUAGAUAGGUCACUCUCCUUUAGUUGAGCAUUCUUGUAAAAAUUGUUGCGAGUCUCACUCUCUCUCUACUCUUCUCCAAACUUUGCAUCGCACAAACAGCAGCGCAAUAAACAGGCCCUUAUAAGUCAAGGAGCCAAGUCCAAUAGAAACAGGCACGAUGGUAUAUGAUUUUCAAUUUUCAAGCUUGGCCUUUUUUGAGACUCAGAGAGCUUGUAUCUAAUGCUGGCAAAUCAAUCUAUUACUGAGCUUCUAUUAUUUUUGGCUGGCUUAGAAUUCAGAAAAAAGGAAGACGGAAAGGGUGCUGUUGGCAUAUGGACACUUCCGUAGGUGUAGAGGUAAGGUGCCUUUCAAAUUUUAUCAUGGUAUAUAGCUUUGAUGUAAAAUGUUUUUAAGAUUAUUUCAAAAUCUAUUUUUAUAUCUAAUUAUAAAAGUUUAAAUUUCAAAAAUAGUUAAAAUCAAGUAGAUUUAUUAACAUAUGAAAAUUUUGAAAACGGACGGUGUAGAUAAUAUAGUGUAAAAUGUACUAUUUUUUAGAGUUAAAAUCUUUGUAUUUUUCGAUGUUGAGAUGAUCAAUCAAAGGAUUUUUCAACAUUAAAAAAUUCCAAUGGAUUUUUGAGGGGCAUCCGUAGUUCUACAAGGUAGCAUCCUUAUAUAAACUUGCUCUUUUAUUUAAGCAAAAGCAAAAUAAAAUUUUCCUUCCAUCUCAUUCUCUUACCUACUCAUCUCUCUCUCCUUAAAAUAUAAGCAAAAGCAAAAUAAAUAUUGAUUUUCUUUCUAUCUCAAUUUCUUACGUACUCAUCUUCCUCUCUUUAAAAUAUGAAAACCUAUUUUUUCACCUUGAUUUUCUCUUCAUCUUUCUCUCACAAUUUUCUCUACAUGUUCUCUCUAUCACGUAUCUCUCUUCCCCUCUCCCUCUCUCCCUUAAAAGAUAGGGAUUAAAGUUAAGAUAGGCACCUGAAGUUUUUUUAUGGCAAAGGUUUUUAGGCUUUCCAUACAAUAUAGAAGUUUUAUUCUCUUUUUAUCAUCCAGCAGUCCAAUUUUGAUUAAGAGAGCCACUUACCGUAUGAUCUUAUAUCCGAUGUCAAAGUUUUUUAUUUUUGGUUUUUUUUAUACAACUUGUAUGAAUAUGAAAUUUGGUAGGUGUCACCUUCUCAUUGGGGUGCACCUAUAAAAACUAUUAAAAAUAAUUUUUCGAUAAAAUAUAAUUUGAUGUGAAAAUAGUUUGUAGAAAAAAUUUUUUAAAUAAAAUAGUAUAAAGAUGUGACAUUGUGAUUGGGACAAUCUUAGCCCUCCAUUCAGAAUGGACAGUUGGAUAAGGGAAAUGAUAGAACUUCUAUGCUACAGGGAAAGCAUAGAAAGCUUGCCUUUUUAUUAUCAUUUAGAAGUUUUAGAGAUAGGGUUCUAUUUUAUUUUUGUGACAUGUAGUCGUCCCUUAAUUUGGGCUUAAUUGAUCAUGGAUAUCUUGUAUACCGAGAAUAAUAAAUAAUAGAUAUCUUGCAUACCGAGAAAAUUAAUGCAGGUAAAUAUGUGCAAAAUAGAAAAAGUAAAGGUGGGCUUUUUGUAUUCAUUGGGUGGUUGUUUUAGAGAGAGAAAAACAAUGUUUUAAGGGUUGUGAGAGAGUGGUAAACUCGACUCCUCAUGCUUGCACAUUUUUCUCGUUAGUAGAAAACAAGUUUGAUGCCUCGUUAACAUAAGCAAUUGUCGAACUUAAUAUUUAUUUUUCCACUUUUUUAAUUUAAUUUUGUACACAAAUUCUCUUCUUUUUUAUUUUUAAAAAAUGUAUACAAUGAUACCGUUUAUUUUUUAAACAAAGAAGUCACAAUCAUCAUUGACCAUUAAAUUUAAAAUCGGGGAGGUUCAGGAUGUGUCAUUGUUUAGGCAUAAGUCCAAAAUAAAAAUUUUUAAAUGUUGCGACACUUUCAUCUAUUGGAUUUUACAUCCAAUGGCUAAAAAUGCUUGACACUACCUUGUAUCAAAAAUAAAAAGUCCCAUAGUAUAUAAUACUUUAUUUUGACUCUAAACUUAUUUUUUUCCUCGGGAGAAGUGUGUCGUCCUUCCAUUCAAGCUUAUUGAACAACGAGACUAUGUCCAUCCUCAAGAACUUGGAAACAAGAGUUUUCACAAACUUGCCAAGCUUUUUUUCAUCAUCUUUGAAUCUUUUGAGACCUUUCAUCUAUUGGAUUUCACAUCCACUUUCAUCUAUAGGAUUUCACAUCCAAUAGCUAAAAAUGCUUGAGACUGCCUUGUAUCAAAAAUAAAAAUUCUCAGAGUAUAUAAUACUUUAUUUUGACUCUAAACUUAUUUUUUAUCCUCGGGAGAAGUGUGUCGUCCUUCCAAUUCAAGCUUAUUGAGCAACGAGAUCAUGUCCAUCCUCAAGAACUUGAAGACAUGAGUUUUCACAAACUUGCCGAGCUUUUUUUCAUCGUCUUUGAAUCUUUUGAGAUCUUUCAUUUAUUGGAUUUCACAUCCACUUGCAUCUAUUGGAUUUCACAUCCAAUGGCUAAAAAUGCUUGACACUGCCUUGUUUCAAAAUAAAAAGUCUUAUAGUAUAUAAUACUUUAUUUUGACUCUAACUUAUUUUUAUCCUCAAGAGAAGUGUGUCGUCCUUCCAUUCAAACUUAUUGAGCAACGAGACCAUGUCCAUCCUCAAGAACUUGGAGACAUGAGUUUUCACAAACUUGCCGAGCUUUUUUUCAUCGUCUUUGAAUCUUUUGAGACCUAAAAUUACAAAGAAAGAGCCUCUUCUCCUAUUAGUUUCUUCCCUCCAUUGAGGUCCACUAGGGGAUUCGAACCUCGUCAAGGUUGAACUUUAUAUGUUAAGACUAACUGGAAGGGUAUUCCAACACAUGUGGUUUAUAUUUGAGGCAUUAAUAUAGUUAAAUAAAAAACAUGAUGUACAACCUACUUCUAAAACUUUCAUCGCUCAUAGGGCGAGGCUGAGUUACUCUGCCGAGUCCGAAAGGCCUUGACCAAGUCUUAAAACGCUGAGCAUAUCACUACGAACCCUAAGAAUAGUUAGCCAUGAUUCAUCAAAUGUGUUAGGAUUUAAGAAUCCUCUUAGAUGCCGAAACGGGAAUCCCAAAAGUUGGAUGCUACCAACAUCGUGUACUUAUCCAACUAGAAACAAAAUAGAAGAGAGCACGAGCCAUAAUACGAGCAAUAAAGCAUGAAAUACACACGUCAGAAAGAGACACAUCUCUAUUCCACAACUAAACCAUUGUCCAAUAAGAGACCCUUGAUAGCAAUUGAGACUUUCUCUCACUUAAAGAGGAAACCACCCAAAAUCUUCAUGGGAAAUUCUUCUUUUCAAGAAAUCAGCAUCUCAAUCUACAUGAGAUACAUCCAUAGUGUUUCUCUCCACAUAAAGCUCUCUUCUCUCAAAAGAGAGGCCUUGCCAAUGAUGCAGAGGAGGCUCUGCUUUUCGAUUUAAAGGAAGUUACCUUUCCCUCUCUUUAGAGGAAGUCACCUUUCCCAUUUCGUGACCAAAAUAGGGCACACAUAGUCUUUAAUCUUUCAUCCCAAAUAUAUAAGAUUAGGACUCCAUACUAAAUAGGAAACUUCCUAUAAAUGGUACAUAUAUCUCAAAAUCAGGAGAUAUACACAAGAGUAUUAAUCUUAUUUGAUUCCUAUUUUCUUUAGGAAACUUAUUAAUAUCAAUGCAUCCCACAUAAUAUGUUAUUUCCUUAUCUGUGUGAUUUUGGAUACACCAUAUCUAACAAUCUCCACCUUGAUUAAAAUCACUUGCUCACCAUGCCAACAUCCAUUAUAUAUCCAUUAGAUAACUUUAUGAAUUCUUCAUCUUUUGUCAAACAAAUUAUUUUAUCUUUAUUGCGGGUAAACAGUGCUUUCAAUAAAACAUUCGCAUACUUUGUCAUGUGUUUUUCGUUAAACAAAUGCACAAACUCUAGCUUUGUAAUGAACUAUUGGCUAUGAUAUCAAUUGGGGGAUCAAAACCAAGGUUUGGCAAAAAUAAGAGAAAGAAAAAUAGCACAGAAAAGUAAAAGAAUAAAGGCACAAAAAUUUAUGUAGUUUGACAAGUUGCCUACGUCUACAGGAUAGCAAAGUUCUUUUCCAUUAAUAAAAAAAUACUAUGCAAGCAUGGAGAAUACAAGUGAAUACAAGCUAUCUCUCUCUCUUUCUCUCUCUCUCUCUCUCNNNNUCUCUCUCUCUCUCUCUCUCUCUCUNNNNNNNNNNNNNNNNNNNNNNNNNNNNNNGUAGUCUACGUACUACACGAGUAGUACAAGUUACUUUACUUACUUAAUAAAAAUAAACUAAUAGCAGACAUAGAGAAGUAACUAACGUAGUAAUACAACACUACUCUCUCUCUCUUCUCUCUCUCUCUCUCUCUCUCUCUCUCUCUCUCUCUCUUUCUCUCUCUCUCUCUAUCUCUCAAAAGCCCUAAAACAUGGUCUUUUUCUCACUAGAAUACCCACCCAAAUACUAAAAAAAUGAACCAUUUUCUCUCUCUUAUUUGCAUCUCACUUUUUUCAUGUGUAUUUUUCUCUCUACAAAACUCUAUUUAUAAAGAGUAACCCAUUAGAGCCCAACAUAAUUCUUUCUCCUAUUUUGAUUACGUCGCCGAUUUCCCAUAGUUUUCCUAUAUCUAAUAGGAGUUAAGAAAUGUUUUGUCUCCCAUUACGAUCCACCUGAUUUCCAUAUCUAAAUCAUAAGAUCUUCUUAAGGAUAAGGAAUACAUCAACACCCUCAAAAUAAGGAAACUACCCAAGAAUAUUGCGUACCACCUUUUCCCAUAUCCAUAUGGUUUCAACUCCUAUAAAAUAGGAUUAUCAUAUAUAUGAGAAAUCUAGGUAGUUAUUAAAUAUGUGAAGUUCUCUAAAAAUAGGAAACAAGGGCUUCAUGUACAAUAUUGUCCCACUUGAAGACAUGUUUUCAUUCUAACUAGUCCACUCCAAGAAACCUCUGCACAUCAGUUACUAAUUAUCAAGUAACCACAAGCCUUGAGGAAGUCCUGCAGCAAGUGAACUCUGCCUUCCCAAUGGGCUUAAGCAACAAAUAUGUUGGAUUGUCAUCAAUAUGAAAUUUUUGCAAUAAAUUAUUUUCAUCUUCUACCACAUCAUGAAUAAAAUGAUAUUGAACAUUAAUAUGUUUGGUUAUAUCAUGGAAGGUUAGAUUUCUUGCUAGAAACUGUAAAGAUUAUCAGUACCAAUAAUAUUCAGUUUCUCCCUAUUUGCGGUGAUAAUCUGACCAUGACCUUGGUAUGGUUUAGUAGAUUGUGGACUUGUGUGCACUCCAGUCAUAUGAUUAGAGACACCCAAUUCAAUAAACCAAAGGGGAUUUACACUAGGGGAUAGGUGAGAGUUCAUACUAGAUAAACUCAUAGCAUAGAAAGCAGAAGAGAUAGCCGUAGACACAGAGUUUUGUACCAAUUGUCGAAUAUCAUUUGAUAUAGUUGAUAUCUGGGACACUGUCAUAUUUGGGUCAUGAAUAGUACUUGAUGGGGGUCUCUACCAUUAGUCCCUUAGAUGCAUCAUAAGCAACUUGGUAUGCCUUGUAAAAAGGUUUCCGUGUAUCUAAUGCCUGGUUGCUUCGUUGAGAACGAUCGCGAUACUCUGUGAUAAUAUACCCAAGACGUUUGCAGUAAGUACAAAAAAAUUUCUUCUUGCAAUGGGAUGCAAUAUGACCAUACUCUUUACAUUCAUAACAUUGCAGCAAAGAUGAACCCUUUUGUGAUGGUUUUUCUCCAGCUCACUGAGCCACAAGGACAUACUCUAUAUCCUUCUUUCCCUUAAUGGUGGCCUGUGUCGUAAUUCUUGUCUUCACACGAAUAAAGUCACCCAUAAUGGCAUCCAUAUUGGCUAAUGUUUCGCGAUUCAAAAUAUUGGUUCGAAUAAUCUCAUAUUAUGGGCGCAACUUCAUUAGAAGCUGCAUCACUUUCCUGUCAUCAUUUAUCUCCUUUAAGCUUGUAAUGCAAUUCUUCGUGAACAUUUGAAAGAGACAGUAUAUAUGCGACCUCUUCUUGGGUAUUGCCAUGAUAAAUUUAUGGUAUGUCACUUGAAAAAAUCCUGCGAAUCUAAUAUAUGUGGGACAACUUGUCGAUGACGGUUACAGUGUUUAAUUUUCUUGUGAUGGUUGUGUAAUACAGGACCUACGCACUGCAGAGUGAAAGAAAAGGGGCAUAGAAUUGGUCGUUUGUUUGCCUUAGAGUUUGAAAAACUAAACCGUGAUGCUCAUUUAUUUUUUCCAUCGAAUUCUGUUAUUUUUGUUUCUGAUAAAUAAUUACAUAUGUGGCAUCGGAGACUUGGUCAUCCGAAUACAAAUAAAUUAGAUACUUUGUUUCGUUCUGGUUCAUUGCCC
Molecule: long non-coding RNA, 6443 nt
Filed under: Amborella trichopoda
Lineage: Eukaryota; Viridiplantae; Streptophyta; Magnoliopsida; Amborellales; Amborellaceae
Description: long non-coding RNA (ATRI_LNC003678)
Source: RNAcentral